AUGGGGAUGCUCACCCAAGGGAUGCUCCCCAGGGAUCUUUGUGCAUNNNNNNNNNNGCGCUGCUCGGGGCCGGUUGCAGCCCGGUGCUGCUGCGGGGCACAGGAAGGGGCUGGGACAAGGGCGAGCGGCGGCGGACGACGGGGACCGGUGAGGGGGUGGCGGAGACUGGGGGGAGCCCCCAUCCCUGGGGGCAAGCAGAGGGGCUGCCCCGCUCUACCCCAAACCCAUUUUGCACCCUUCAUCCCCUUUUCCCCUCCUUUGGCCCCUUUUUCCUUUUCCUCCCCACCUUGUCCCUUCUUUUGCCCCCCUUUCCCACCCUUUCCCCCCUUUUUUCCUCUUUUCUCACCCUUUUCCCCUCUUUUUCCCCUUUUCCUCCCCUUUUCCCUCCUUUUCCUUCCAUUUUCCACCCUUACCUUCCCUUUCCUUCCUUUUCUCUCCUUUUCCCCUCUUUCCCCCCCUUUCCCUCUCUAUUUUUUUACUCUUUUCCCUACCUUUUUCCCCCUUUCUCCUGCUUUUCCCCUUCUUUUACCUUUUCCCCUCUUUCUCCCCUUUCCCCUCUUUUUCCCCAUUUACCCCUUUUCCCUUUUCCCCCUCCUUUUUUUACCCACUUUCCCCCCAUUUUCCUCCUUUUCCCCUCCUUGUUCCCCCCUUUCCUUUCCUUUUUCCCUCUUCUCCCCCUUUUCACCCCUCUUUCCUUCCCUUUCCCUUCCCUUUCCCUUCCCUUUCCCCUCCUUUUCCUCCUUUUCCUUCCCUUUUCCCAUCCUAUUCACCAUUUCCCCUCCUUUCUCCCUCCAUUUUCCUCCUUUCCUCCCCUUCUCCCUUUCCCCUCUAUUUCUCUCCCCCCCUCCCAUUUUCCUCCUUUUUCCCCCCUUUCUCCCUUUUUUUCAGUGGAUGCUGAUGCCCCAAAUCAAGCAGCAAAUGUCAGGCCGAGCCCCCCCCGUGUUUUUUGUUUGUUUGUUUGUUUGUUUUUUGUUUUUUGUUUUUUUGGGGGGGGAGGAGGGGAGAGCCCAUGCACGAGUUAACACCAGGUGGUGGAGCAGGGCUUCGGGUCCAGGUGUGGGGCAGCCCCUCCACCCCACAACUCCACGUGGAGCUGGAUGGCCAAGCCCUCCUGUGGGAUUUCCACAAGAUCACAGAAUUUUAGGUCAGAAAAAAACCUCUAAGAUCAUCAAAUCCAACCUUUUGGCACUGUUUUAG
Molecule: long non-coding RNA, 1197 nt
Filed under: Anas zonorhyncha (Eastern spot-billed duck)
Lineage: Eukaryota; Metazoa; Chordata; Aves; Anseriformes; Anatidae
Description: lncRNA (ENSAZOG00000014216.1)
Source: RNAcentral